Megalopta genalis is the source of this 4070-nucleotide non-coding RNA. Lineage: Eukaryota; Metazoa; Arthropoda; Insecta; Hymenoptera; Halictidae. The record is from RefSeq and is a predicted model, not a curated record.
GGUCGCGUCCGGGACGCGCGGGGCGAUCGCGCGUUCUCGCGCCGGUCGCGUUCGGAAUGUGCGGGACGCUCGCGCGUUCUCGCGCCGGUCGCCCGGGCCCUCGACGAGAUCGGCGAGCACGGACGAUCCCGGAGACGAUGGUGAACGAGUUCUGUGGCUGCGGUUUAUCAGGAUCAUUCAGUUCGCGCGUAUCGUUUCGUUUAGCGUCGCUGUGUUUUAGCCGGCCGCCUCGCGGAGCCGCGGCCGAAGCGGAAGCAGUCGAGGCUCUGCGAAGUUUCUGCGAAGUUUCUGCGAAGCUCUGCGAAGUUUCUGCGAAGCUCUGCGAAGUUUCUGCGAAGCUCUGCGAAGUUUCUGCGAAGCUCUACGAAGUUUCUGCUAAGCUCUGCGAAGCUCUGCAAAGCUUUGCGAAGCUCUGCUAAGCUCUGCGAAGCUCCGUGAAGCUCUCGGCCGAGCGUCCACGUUUUUUCUCGGUUUUCUCCGACGAACAACGAAUCACGACGCUUUCGGAGACGUUCAAGGUUCUCGCGACGGAGCCGCGAAGCCGCGCGCGUUCGUAUUCUUUUUAUUCGGUCGAUUUAACGCGGGCCGUGCCUGUCGCGUCGGUGUGUACAUAUUUCACGGAUCCGUUUCCGUGGGCAAUAAAUGAAUGUAUAAAUUAUUCGCGGAUUGGACGGCUGGUUGCGCGAUGUUCCACGCGGCGGCCUGUUACGUUGAACCGUGAGUUUUGAACACGGUGAUUAAGUCUACCGGGGACGCUCGAUUCGCGGGUCGCAAAAGCGUUGAAAUAAAUAUGUUACGGUUAAAUGUGUUCGGCGAGAGACAAGAGAUUCCCCUGUCGUUCUGUGACCAUUGCGUGGUACUGUGAUCUGUUCCUAAUUCGCGAUCGGAACCCUUUUUGGUUUCUUUUCCGGUGUAAUUAACUUAAUAUUUAUCGAACAAGAUGUAUUAAAAUUGUUUAUUCUUUUAUUUUCUUUCUAUGCGAAUUAAAAGAGUUUAAUACGUCUAGUUCGAUAAAUAUAAAGUUGAUUAUCCCGCAAAUAAACCGGUGGCACAGUGAUUGGUCACCACACAGUAAUCGGCUCCGCUACCCCAAAAUUUGUUUCCGACAUUCAACGGGACCCCAUUGAAUGUUCAAGUAGAAAUACAGUAAUUUCUCUUCUAAUUCGCGUUUGGAUUGCGCGACCGGAACCCUUCGGUUCAAUUUUCGGCGUAAUUAACAUAAUAUUUAUCGAACAAGAUAUAUAUUAAAAUUAUUUAUUCCCUUAUUUUGUUUCUAUCCGAAUGGAAAAUAAUUGAAUACAUCUAGUUCGAUAAACGUAAAAUUGAUUAUCCCGAAAAUAAACCGAGGACACGGUAAUCGGUCAGCCCACAGUAACCGGCUCCACUAAUUGAAUUUUAAUUUAUUUCCGAGCCAUUCGACAGGAUUUUUAUGCACAGUCUGAGCGCGAAUUAGGGAGAAAUUACGCGACGAUGUUUCUUUUCUCUUCAGCCGCCGCCGUUUAUUUUCGCAGUGUGUCCUUUUUUUUAUUAUUUAUUCGGUUUUAUUAUUAACCGGUGCUCCCCUCGGUGCCUCACGAACAUGAAAUACGGACCGAAUGUUCGUAACUCGUUCGAAUUUCCGAGCACGCUUGACUGUAACGUAUUUAAGGCAACACUUUGUACGAUCGAUGGCCGAAGAGAGAGAGAGAGAGAGAGAGAGAGAGAGAGAGAGAGAGAGAGGGCGAACGAAGGCGCGACAGCCACGCAAAUAUCGGCGCGAUUGCUGCUUGGAUGAAUAAAAUCGAUUCUAGUGAGUCGAACGCUUUUGUUGGGCCGACUCGGUUCUUCUUGGCGAUGGUCGAUGUGUACUCGCUUACUGGUCACAGUGCGCCCUCGAUAAGAGCUCGCCGCCAUUCUCUCGACGAUUCAAUUUCAAUUGGAUAUUAAUAUUAUAUACAUGUAUAUAUAUUAUGUACACAUAUGGCGCAUCGGCGGAUGCGCAUAUUUUUAAGAAAACGACUGUUCGAAAAUGUUCGAAAUUCAUCGCGUCUCGAUCGGCGAGCUCUUGUCGAGGGGGGCGCGGGCUCGAAAAUUGAGAGAAAUUCAAUUGGCGGGGACUGUGGCUCGGCUACCUCAUAGAACUGAUCUGUAAUAAUUAUGGGACAGUUGCAGGGCAUUCUUCUCUGUGUUUUUCUCGAGCUUCAUUUCUCCUUCUCUAUGCAUGCCCACAUCCUUGCCCCCCACCCCCACCCCCGGCCCACCCCUCUGUGUCUUCGUUUCGCAUCCCGAUAUAUUGUAUAUUGAAAGCUGACAGGGAAAUCGAACGAACGAUUUUCAAAACCGCCGAAGCAAUUCGACAAAUUCGAUUCUCGAACGAACGUUAAAAAUAAAAUAUAAAAGAUAAAAAGAAAGAAAAGAGAAACGUUUUGUUCCGCGAACGGUCGGCUGGCUGACGAUCAUCCUGACCCUGAUGCGAUAUUUUGUAGGUGGCAGGCGCGGCGACGAGGUUCGCCUGACGCGGCCGAAGAGGUUCGUGAAGAUACGGGACGCCCUGUACAACGCGAACACCGGGAAAUUUCACUGUCCUAACUGUAACAACGGAUACGGCAGGCGAGACACAAUGUUGGGUCACUUUAGGGUGCGAGUGGCCGCGGAACGUUGUUGGUCCGCGGAUACUCGACGUUUGGACGCAACGCGGCCCGCCGACGGACGACGCGGCCGCCUCGGAGGGGGAGUACGCGUGCGCGAAGUGCAAGAAGACGUUUCCGCGGAAGUACGCGAUGAACCGUCACUAUAAAUUGUGCGACGCGUACCCGCGUUAUCAGUGCCCGCACUGCAAGUACGUGAGCAAGUGGACGUCCGCCAUUUACAAGCAUAUUCGGAGGGUGCACGUCGGAGGAUUGGUCGCCGUCUCGAUGCUUUAUUAGCGACGAACGAGGCGCGGCGAGGCGAGGCGAGGCGAGACAAGGCGAGGAUAAUGUAAAUCGUGUUAAUAAAGAAAAUAGUUCCGGCCGAUCGUCCUCGGCAAGUACCACGGGGUCGUGCGAAACUCCCGGCACAUGCUCAAGCUACAGACGUCCCUGAACCGGCGGGGCUUCCCGUGCCCGAGAUGCGCGCGCACGUUUCACACGUCCGGCGGCAUGAGCCGGCACUACAGACUCGAGUGCGUCGAUCUGCCACGGUUCAAGUGUCCCCACUGCGACAUGCGUAGCAAGUAUACACAGGCGGUGUACAGGCAUAUACGCGCGAAACACCGCAAUAUGGAGCUCAGGUUCGUCAAGCUGUAUUGAAAACCGAACAACGACCAGAACGAGACGAGCAGCCUCCACGAGCGCCGUCGUCGAUUCUUCGACCAUUGAGAUUAUUUUAGCAGCAACGGAACAACCAUCGGUUCCCCUGACAUUCGGAGCACCCUGGGGAGGGGGGUGGGUGGGAGAAAAACGACCAAGCUCGCGGCGAAAGUGUGGACGAGACAGAGAGAGAUAAUUUUGAUUUUAUAAUUGGCCUUUGACGAGGCUUCUGGAAUCGAUUAAUAAUAAAUAAAUUAAUGAAGGGAUUAAAUUAAAUGAAUUAUAGAGAAAAUACGAUUGUGGGGAAAAUUAAAUAAAUUAAAUAGAGAAUUUGUGACGUAGGGAAGAAUUGUAGGGAAGAAUUUUCGACGUUGAACGUUUAUGGUAAAUUUGGAAUCUAUCGACGAAAUUUAGGUUGAUCCGUGUGCGACGUUUUUAUGAUUAUUUUGGAGCGAUUUUAACGCGGAGAAUGUUCAUGUAAUAUUGGAUGCGCUUGUGUUCUGUAGAUUUGUUUGUGUAUGUAUAUAUUUUCUCUCUCUCCCUCUCUCUCUCUCUCUUUUUAUUGUUUGUACACCAAAUACCAUAUUAUUAAUAUGGUAACAUAUGGUAAUAAUAAAUGAAUAUUAUACCAUAGCAAUACUUUAUUAUUUGUGUACCAGUGCGUACAGUCAAACCAAAUAGUUGUGAAACUAUACAAUUAAUUAUGUAUAAUUAACGUGUAAAUUAUGUAGUCGACGGAAAUAUCCGAUUAGAAGUCGUAAUGGAUAAACCGGAAUUUUAUUAAAAAUUGUGAAAAACAUA